UCCCUUAGUCCUUUGCCCUGACUGAUGUGGGUCUGAGCAGUGGGCUUGCUCGUCGCCGUCCUGUGCAGCAUCAACUGUGGCUAGGGCAACCGCUUCAUGGGGCUUCUUGUCGGCUGGACCCUAAGUCCUCUUUCUAUGGGCUUCUCCACAGAGCUCAAGAACAUGCUCACCCACAGCCGGGGACAGUUGUCCAGGAACAGGAAAUGGAAGCUGCUCGUUUCAUCCUGGGUCUGGGGUCUGUGAAGGCAUCAUUUCUGCAUCCUUGGUGACCUAAGAGUUGUAGAGCCUGCCAGAUUCAUAGGGGAGCCCUCUGUAUCUCUCAGAGGACUUUCACCCCUUACCAUAUCAGCUUUAGGCAUUAUUUAAAAAAAGAAUCAGUCACAGAGAGGGGACAGAUGCAAUAGGACACACCUUACCUGGGCAGGUUAAACAAGAGGACUGCAAGUUCCAAGCCAGCCUGGGAAACUUGGAAAUAGUUCAGAAUGAGUUAAUAGAACAAAGCAAACCACCCAAAACAUGAGAAGAGCUGGAGUUGACCUCCGAGAGAGCACAUGAGUGGCGUGCACAAGACUGUGAUGGAUCCCUUAAUUACAGGUACUGGGGCCUAAGCUCCCACUUUCAGUUCACGUAACUGCAUUUGGGGUAAAAGUACUUCAGUAGUAAUUCGCUGAAUGGUGAUAUAGCUUUAAAAUUGGAUUUUGACCAACUAUUUACUCUCAAUUCCUCAUCUGUAAAAAGCUUAUUUGAAUGGUUACUCAUCUUCAGUAAAGACUGCUUUUCUGUUUCCUGUCAUGCCUACUCUGCCCAGUUAAGCAUUGUUGAGAUUGCAGUUUCUGCUUUCUCUAAGUUUAAGUCUGAGAAUAAGAAAGACCUUUUAAAAACACAGUUGCUGGACAGAGAAUGUGUACUUCUGAGGAACAGCUAAGGGGGGUUAUGUAGGGCCAAUUAGAUCAGUCAGCAGUGCCAAUUUGCAAUGCAGUGUAAACGGUGGACCAUGUGAGGGAGGAGAAAGAACGGUGACCAAACAUAAUAGGCUUUGUUUUGUUGAGUCUUCAGUGCAUGCCCUGCGCUUUGUUUGAACAUUUUAAAAGUUUUACUUGGUACUGAGUUCACCACUGCAGUAAGGGUGCAGAAUACAUUCUUAAAAUGUAAAUGCUCAAACUAAAUAGAAAAAAAAAUACUUUUAAAUGCAGGUAACUUUUGCCUCCUACUUUUCUAUAACAAGAAAAUUCAAGAGUUGUGUUACUUAUGAUUUCCCAGGAAGGCCAUUAAAGAUUGCAUAUCUGUGAGGAAAAAAUUUGGUUGUCAUGGAAAACCUUGAAUACAGACAAGAAUUUUGUGCGAUUGAUCUUCAACGCCCUUCAUAAUUAGCUUAAAAUAGUUUAAUGGCAUUUGUGGGAACAGAUGACUCACUCAGAUCCUUAAUGUCAAAAUUUUCUGUGGCUAAGUCCGCCUAGGGUGAGCUGCAGGAGCCCCUUUUCCAAGAGCUGUUUCCAGGGAGGCUGCUCCAUCCCAGAGUGGGAAGGAAGUGUGCUGCUGUCCCUGUCACUUCCCCAACUCCUCCGGACACUCACCUCUGGCUGUGCGAGAGUUUGAUGGAAGGGAAGGUCUCUGCCUGUCAGCAUCCUCCCUUGCUUCUAAAGAAAGGCUACCAAGCAGCACAUGCUAUUAGCACUAGGUCAGUAUCCUCCAGUUGUCAAAAACAUUUUGUGAAUUAUGGGCCAAAAUUGUAUUAAUGGGUAGUUACAUACAUUAGGAAAUAAAAAUCUGUCGUAUAAUUUAUUAGCUGAAGUUUCUGAAAACGUUCUCCGGCCUGAUUUUUAUAGGUAGACUCUAGGUGAUCUGGAUCGUAGCCUCCAAGUGUGGUAGAUAAGGAGAACACUCCUCCUGAUGCCGCCCUGCGAGCCGAGCAGCUAUUCCCAACUGAGUGCUUCUUGCUUCCGUUUAUUGCUGAGCCAAAGAACUUAUAAAAACCUUUUUGUAGAUAAAUAAACCUUGUUCAAUUG
This 2006-nucleotide long non-coding RNA is filed under the name Rattus norvegicus (Norway rat). RNAcentral describes it as "long non-coding RNA NONRATT011107". Lineage: Eukaryota; Metazoa; Chordata; Mammalia; Rodentia; Muridae. The record is from RNAcentral.